This 468-nucleotide ribosomal RNA is filed under the name uncultured bacterium. Its description in RNAcentral is "partial 16S ribosomal RNA". It matches the Rfam family "Bacterial small subunit ribosomal RNA", at positions 28 to 507 of the family's 1533-position model. The record is from RNAcentral.
GACGAACGCUGGCGGCGUGCUUAACACAUGCAAGUCGAACGGAAAGGCCCUGCUUUUGUGGGGUGCUCGAGUGGCGAACGGGUGAGUAACACGUGAGUAACCUGCCCUUGACUUUGGGAUAACUUCAGGAAACUGGGGCUAAUACCGGAUAGGAGCUCCUGCUGCAUGGUGGGGGUUGGAAAGUUUCGGCGGUUGGGGAUGGACUCGCGGCUUAUCAGCUUGUUGGUGGGGUAGUGGCUUACCAAGGCUUUGACGGGUAGCCGGCCUGAGAGGGUGACCGGCCACAUUGGGACUGAGAUACGGCCCAGACUCCUACGGGAGGCAGCAGUGGGGAAUAUUGCACAAUGGGCGGAAGCCUGAUGCAGCAACGCCGCGUGCGGGAUGACGGCCUUCCGGUUGUAAACCGCUUUCGCCUGUGACGAAGCGUGAGUGACGGUAAUGGGUAAAGAAGCACCGGCUAACUACGUG